Long non-coding RNA from Lepus europaeus (European hare), 711 nucleotides. RefSeq lists it as uncharacterized. NCBI's taxonomy places the organism in Eukaryota, Metazoa, Chordata, Mammalia, Lagomorpha, Leporidae. The transcript is spliced from 3 exons. The record is from RefSeq and is a predicted model, not a curated record.
CUCCGAUCAGGUUUCUCUUUCCUUACGGGCAAAAGCGGGUUAAGUUUCGAUGGUAUCGCGGCAUCACUGUGGAGACCACCGCACACAGUGAUUGUGAACGCGUGGAAGCAUUCUACUUCCUCCAAGAAAAUGAAGACGGAAGUUGGUUUUUCUCAGGAGACAAGCUGCUGUUGGCUUUACAAGUGACAUCUCAGAGACCCUGUAGUUCAAAAGAGGACAGAUCAGAGCUCACAAUCAGAAAAUUUGGUUCAUCUUCAGUAACACCUUGGAAGCAUUUCCUGUGGAAGACUUCUUGCAAACAGGAGAGAUGUGUCCUUACGUGACUGGUUCCCUGUGACCACGUUAAGCCUUAUGUUUUACUUAACACGGAAGUGUGAGCUGUCCAGUACUUGGGAGGAUAGUUCAACAGGGUUAGGCCAAAUACCUGGACAUGCAAAAAUCCUCAGAGGAAGACUGUGGCCAUUUGAGCUCACAGUGUGAGCCACAGAACAUCCGGUCAUGGAGCUGGAAAACAAUUCAGUGAAGUAGACAUAAACAAGGGCCCAUUUGGGAGAGACCAGAGGUAUGCACAGAGUGAAAAGAAAUGAAGCAGACUCACACACCUGUGUAUAGAAGGCUGCAUUUCAAGGAAAGGAAGAAGAGGUUAUGACCAAUAAAAGGCAAGUGUUCGGGCUUAUACAGAGAUUUCAACACCUCAAGUAUGUUGUAAAG